CAACCCUCAAGCCCCCGGGUUUGGUGUUGGGACUCGCGGUAACCCGCGUUCCCCAAAUCGAUUGGCGGUCACGUCGAGCUUCCAUAGCGUAGUAAUCAUACACCUCGUUACUGGUAAUCGUCGCGGCCACGCCGUUAAACCCCAACUUCUGAA
This 153-nucleotide unclassified non-coding RNA is filed under the name uncultured Trichocomaceae. RNAcentral's name for it is "sequence contains ITS2". Lineage: Eukaryota; Fungi; Ascomycota; Eurotiomycetes; Eurotiales; Trichocomaceae. The record is from RNAcentral.